Molecule: transfer RNA, 61 nt
Filed under: Liriope muscari (big blue lilyturf)
Lineage: Eukaryota; Viridiplantae; Streptophyta; Magnoliopsida; Asparagales; Asparagaceae
Description: partial tRNA-Phe
Source: RNAcentral
UCGGGAUAGCUCAGUUGGUAAAGCAAAGGACUGAAAAUCCUCGUGUCACCAGUUCAAAUCA